Molecule: long non-coding RNA, 643 nt
Filed under: Homo sapiens (human)
Lineage: Eukaryota; Metazoa; Chordata; Mammalia; Primates; Hominidae
Description: non-protein coding lnc-RNF113B-1:1
Source: RNAcentral
GUCAACACUCAGAAAAAUCCCAUGUUUCUGGGCACCGGAGUUGGGAGCAGGGGGAUGAGGGAUCCUGUCAGCUGAAGAAGGUGGAGACAAUCAUAGAAGAAAGCGGGUAAAAGGGGUUCCCUUAUCCCGAAUAUGAAACCACACAGGUCUGAGCUCCCCUCGGAGCUACCUAGGCAUGCGACAGACCCCAAACAACACUGCAGCCUUUGAAAACUGAAAGGAGACAGGAAUCACUAUCCACAGAAAGCCAGACAGAACUUCCAGAAUGUCAGGCCUCUGAGCCCAAGCCAAGCCAAGCCAUCGCAUCCCCUGUGACUUGCAUGUACACAUCCAGAUGGCCUGAAGUAACUGAAGACACAAAAGAAGUAAAAAUAGCCUUAACUGAUGACAUUCCACCAUUGUGAUUUGUUUCUGCCCCACCCUAACUGAUCAAUGUACUUUGUAAUCUCCCCCACCCUUAAGAAGGUACUUGGUAAUCAAUCUCCCCCACCCUUAAGAAGGUUCUUUGUAAUUCUCCCCACCCUUGAGAAUGUAUUUUGUGAGAUCCACCCCUGCCUGCAAAACAUUGGUCUUAACUUCACCGCCUAUCCCAAAACCUGUAAGAACUAAUGAUAAUCCACCACCCUUUGCUGACUCUCUUUUC